GACGAACGCUGGCGGCGUGCCUAAUACAUGCAAGUCGAACGCAGUGGGGACGGGUGAUUAACACGUGGGUAACCUCCCAUCAGAGGGGAUACCACUUGGCAACAGGUGCUAAACCGAUACUGAUGGAUGAACUCGCGGUGCAUUAGCUCGUUGGUGAGGUCACGGCUCACCAAGGCCACGAUGCAUAGCGGACCUGAGAGGGUGAUCGGCCACACCGGGACUGAGAAACGGCCCAGACUCCUACGGGAGGCAGCAGUAGGGAAUCUUCGGCAAUGGACGAAAGUCUGACCGAGCAACGCCGCGUGAGUGAAGAAGGUUUUCGGAUCGUAAAAUUCUGUUGUUAGAGAAGCGGUAUCUAACCAGAAAGCCACGGCUAACUACGUGCCAGCCGCCGCGGUAAUAC
Molecule: ribosomal RNA, 403 nt
Filed under: uncultured bacterium
Lineage: Bacteria
Description: partial 16S ribosomal RNA
Rfam family: Bacterial small subunit ribosomal RNA
Source: RNAcentral